GCCGCAGUAGCUCAGUUGGUGAGAGCGCAUGCAUGGUAAGCAUGAGGUCGGGAGUUCAAUCCUCCCCUGUGGCU
RNAcentral lists this transfer RNA (74 nucleotides) under Candidatus Pacearchaeota archaeon. Its description in RNAcentral is "tRNA-Thr". It matches the Rfam family "tRNA". Rfam says of the family: Transfer RNA (tRNA) molecules are approximately 80 nucleotides in length. Their secondary structure includes four short double-helical elements and three loops (D, anti-codon, and T loops). Lineage: Archaea; Nanobdellati. The record is from RNAcentral.